UUCGACUGUUUUACCAAAAACAUAGCUUCUCGAAAUUAUGUGAAGUGCCGUCUGCCCAGUGAUUAGAUUAAACGGCCGCGCAAGUGCUAAGGUAGCAUAAUCAUUUGCCUUUUUAUUGGAGGCUAGUAUGAAUGGAUUAACGAAGCUUAACUGUCUCUGGACAUCAAAAUUAACUUGAUCUACAGGUGAAAAAGCCUUUAUUCUAGUGAAGGACGAAAAGACCCUAUAGAGUUUGUAGUAUAAUUUUAUCAUCAAUAUAUAAUAAAAUAUACUUUUAUUGGGGCAAUAUAAGACCAAUAAAACUCUUAUUCUAACAUAAAUCCUCAAAGAGAAAAAAGAAAAACUACCUUAGGGAUAACAGCGGAAUCCUUCCAGAGAGACCUAAUUGAAGGAAGGGUUUGCGACCUCGAUGUUGGACUAAAGAAGCUCCUCAAUGCAGAAGUUUAGAGAGCAGGCCUGUUCGGCCUUUAAUUCCUUACAUGAUUUGAGUUCAUUCCGUA
RNAcentral lists this ribosomal RNA (500 nucleotides) under Bugulina carvalhoi. Its description in RNAcentral is "partial 16S ribosomal RNA". It matches the Rfam family "Bacterial large subunit ribosomal RNA", at positions 1795 to 2620 of the family's 2925-position model. The record is from RNAcentral. Lineage: Eukaryota; Metazoa; Bryozoa; Gymnolaemata; Cheilostomatida; Bugulidae.